RNAcentral lists this transfer RNA (64 nucleotides) under Scrobicularia plana. RNAcentral describes it as "tRNA-Glu". The record is from RNAcentral. Lineage: Eukaryota; Metazoa; Mollusca; Bivalvia; Cardiida; Scrobiculariidae.
GCCUUUGUGGUGUAACCAACACGCUAAGUUUUCGGUUUAGAGUUAAAUAUAUAUUUCAAAGGUU